CGGGCUUAUUUUUACUUGAAGCAAGGAGGCUGUUGCCUCCUUGACUUCAAGCUCACUCUGAAGAUAGCAAGAGGGGUGAUUAAAACUGCAUUUACAGCAUACAGUAUGCAGCAACCGAUGGAAGAAUGAAAAACAUCAUUGUGAACACACUGGGGGCUACUUUAAGGUGCACUUCCAGAUUCUUUAAUCCCACCAGAACAGCUUGGAUGCUACGUGACUUCUGUUCCAAUAAAGCCAUCGUCAUAAUGGAGGCAGGAUAAUUCUUCCAUCAUGUUGUCACAUGAAAAACAUCAGACAACUCAAGAACUGGAAGCAUUAGAGGAAUCUGAAUCUUAUUCAUUAGAGAGACUAUUAGAGAACAACAAUGAGCACCAGAACUGGGGGUGGCCAGUGGGCCGAGCUCCAAGGUAAUUGGUCAAGAGGACUUCCUCCUGUGGCGUUGUUAUGAGGGAUGAACUGGAAAAUCAUCUAUAUCAGCGGACGUAUUAGGCAGAUGCAUCAAAGUGUCAUACAAAAGGGUCCCCAUCAGCAAAUAAAUUGACGCAGACAUAUUUA
Molecule: long non-coding RNA, 555 nt
Organism: Bufo gargarizans (Asiatic toad)
Lineage: Eukaryota; Metazoa; Chordata; Amphibia; Anura; Bufonidae
Exons: 5
Source: RefSeq, a predicted model, not a curated record